GAAGAGCUUGCUCUUCAAAUCGAGUGGCGAACGGGUGAGUAACGCGUGAGGAACCUGCCUCAAAGAGGGGGACAACAGUUGGAAACGACUGCUAAUACCGCAUAAGCCCACAGCUCGGCAUCGAGCAGAGGGAAAAGGAGCAAUCCGCUUUGAGAUGGCCUCGCGUCCGAUUAGCUAGUUGGUGAGGUAAUGGCCCACCAAGGCGACGAUCGGUAGCCGGACUGAGAGGUUGAACGGCCACAUUGGGACUGAGACACGGCCCAGACUCCUACGGGAGGCAGCAGUGGGGAAUAUUGCACAAUGGGGGAAACCCUGAUGCAGCGACGCCGCGUGGAGGAAGAAGGUCUUCGGAUUGUAAACUCCUGUUGUUGAGGAAGAUAAUGACGGUACUCAACAAGGAAGUGACGGCUAACUACGUGCCAGCAGCCGCGGUAAAACGUAGGUCACAAGCGUUGUCCGGAAUUACUGGGUGUAAAGGGAGCGCAGGCGGGAGAACAAGUUGGAAGUGAAAUCCAUGGGCUCAACCCAUGAACUGCUUUCAAAACUGUUUUUCUUGAGUAGUGCAGAGGUAGGCGGAAUUCCCGGUGUAGCGGUGGAAUGCGUAGAUAUCGGG
This 613-nucleotide ribosomal RNA is filed under the name uncultured bacterium. Its description in RNAcentral is "bacterial SSU rRNA". It matches the Rfam family "Bacterial small subunit ribosomal RNA", at positions 73 to 701 of the family's 1533-position model. The record is from RNAcentral.